AAAAGAAACCAACAGGGAUUGCCUCAGUAACGGCGAGUGAAGCGGCAAAAGCUCAAAUUUGAAAUCUAGCACUUUCAGUGUUCGAGUUGUAAUUUGAAGAAGGUAACUUUGGUUUUGGCUCUUGUCUAUGUUCCUUGGAACAGGACGUCACAGAGGGUGAGAAUCCCGUGCGAUGAGAUGCCCAAUUCCAUGUAAAGUGCUUUCGAAGAGUCGAGUUGUUUGGGAAUGCAGCUCUAAGUGGGUGGUAAAUUCCAUCUAAAGCUAAAUAUUGGCGAGAGACCGAUAGCGAACAAGUACAGUGAUGGAAAGAUGAAAAGAACUUUGAAAAGAGAGUGAAAAAGUACGUGAAAUUGUUGAAAGGGAAGGGCUUGAGAUCAGACUUGGUAUUUUGCGUUCCCUUCCUUUUUGGUUGGGUUCCUCGCAGUUUACUGGGCCAGCAUCGGUUUGGAUGGUAGGAUAAUGACAUUGGAAAUGUAGCUUUACUUCGGUGAAGUGUUAUAGACUUUGUUGAUACUGCCUAUCUAGACCGAGGACUGCGUCUUUGACUAGGAUGCUGGCGUAAUGAUCUUAAGCCGCCCGUC
Molecule: ribosomal RNA, 581 nt
Filed under: Dujonia zeylanoides
Lineage: Eukaryota; Fungi; Ascomycota; Pichiomycetes; Serinales; Debaryomycetaceae
Description: [Candida] zeylanoides partial large subunit ribosomal RNA
Rfam family: Eukaryotic large subunit ribosomal RNA
Source: RNAcentral